RNAcentral lists this ribosomal RNA (259 nucleotides) under Pseudopedinella elastica. RNAcentral's name for it is "partial Bacterial small subunit ribosomal RNA". It matches the Rfam family "Bacterial small subunit ribosomal RNA", at positions 529 to 787 of the family's 1533-position model. The record is from RNAcentral. Lineage: Eukaryota; Dictyochophyceae; Pedinellales.
AGGGGACUAGCGUUGUUCGGAAUUACUGGGCGUAAAGCGCACGUAGGCGGAUUAGUCAGUCAGAGGUGAAAUCCCAGGGCUCAACCCUGGAACUGCCUUUGAUACUGCUAGUCUUGAGUUCGAGAGAGGUGAGUGGAAUUCCGAGUGUAGAGGUGAAAUUCGUAGAUAUUCGGAGGAACACCAGUGGCGAAGGCGGCUUACUGGACGAUAACUGACGCUGAGGCUCGAAAGCGUGGGGAGCAAACAGCAUUAGAUACCC